AUGCUGAAUGUGGGUGGGUUACCUCUCGGUGAUAUCACUAAUGUGUGUCAACCAACCACGGUGGACCUUGACGAUAAAAAAGAGCAACUAAAGUCUCGGAGAAGAGCUGCUUAUCGAAAGAAAAAAGAGGAGGCAGCCAGCAAGCAAAAAGAUGAAAAUCUGACUGCCCUUUCGAUAUCAGAUAUGCAAAAUAUUCCCCUGCUACCUCUCGGUGAUAUCACUAAUGGGUGUCAACCAUUCUCGGUGGACCUUGACGAGAAAAAAGAGCAAAUAAAGGCUCGGAGGAGAGCUGCUUAUCGAAAGAAAAAAGAGGAGGCAGCCAGCAAGCAACUAGAUGAAAAACAGCCUGAGGAAGAACACAAGGGUGACUUAACGGACGAGCAAACUGAGCAGAGAAACGCGCGGAAGCGAGCAAGUUAUCGGAGAAAAGUGGGGGACGGAACGAUCGAUCUUCAAGAAAAAAAUCAGAAGUUGCAAGAAUGGCGCGUGCAACACCCUAAAACCAUGACUGAGGAUGAAAGGGGGGAGUCAAGUGCAAAGAGAAAGGCAAAGUAUGCUGCAAAGAAAUACAUGCCAUGUGCUGAAUCGAUCGCAAUGCCACGUCCAGAUCUAAGUAGCACAUUGUCCAACCCUCACACACAUUGUCCGACUCUCACACUUUCAGCCCUCACGCAACAAUUCGACAGUGAACAAAUAGAUCAUGCUCCUACGAUCAAUGCGGCCCCCACAUACAUUCGCAACACCGAAACCGAUGGUGCAUACCUAAGCAGAACCUUCGGUGAUGGUGCUGUAGAUGGCGACCUGAUCGAAGGUACAAUAGCGGAUAAUGGAGUGGACGGGCAGAGUCAUGAGUCCAGAGCAGCGCCUGGGAGGAGAGAGCGAGCUUGCAAGGGUGGUGUGGUGGCAAAGAAGGGUCAACAGAAAAUUGUGAAGCAAAAAAAAUGUAUGCAGGUAGCGCAUGGUGAAAGGAAUGUUCUACGCGAUCGACGUAAUGAAAAGUUUGCAGGUAGGGUGAUGACCCCAACCGUCAGGUCCAUCUCCAUUCCGAAAAUGAGCUCAACUGGACAACCUACCGUAGUGGAAGCACAUGGUGCCUCGACCUCAUCUAGCACGCCGGAGUACACGAUCAGAAGUGAAGGUAAAACUCCCAUCCUUACUCUUCUUGCGUCCCUUGAGACUGAACCCUCAUUUAUUGGUUCCGUACCUGAGCAGACGACAUGGACGCUUACCUUAGUCGUCUCAUGA
Molecule: ribosomal RNA, 1245 nt
Filed under: Triticum aestivum (bread wheat)
Lineage: Eukaryota; Viridiplantae; Streptophyta; Magnoliopsida; Poales; Poaceae
Description: partial small subunit ribosomal RNA
Source: RNAcentral